Molecule: non-coding RNA, 92 nt
Organism: Mycena galericulata
Lineage: Eukaryota; Fungi; Basidiomycota; Agaricomycetes; Agaricales; Mycenaceae
Source: the annotation of a GenBank genome assembly
UCGGGUGUGGUGUAUGGCACACCCUCCCUCCCACUGAGAUGAGCACAUCUAGGUUGAUGGGAGAGACCCGGGUUCGAUUCCUGGUGCCCGAG